UAUGAUCUUCACAAAUUCUAUCCAGCUGUCCUGACGAGUGAACAGGUGGAAUGGCGGAAAUGGAAAUUCCUCACUGAAGGAGGAGAGGCCAGUGCUCCUUCAGAUCCCUUGGGACCUGGAAAUGCUGAGUGCACUCGGCCUGCUCUCGCUCCACUGGUAGCAGCGGAGUUUGAGCCCUCCUGGUGUGAACUCUCUUCUGAAACACAGGCUCCCACUGAAGAAUUAAGUUCUCGGGAUCCCAUCUGCAGGAAGUCCAUUGAGUACCUAAGUGGGCAGUUAAUUUUCAGGCAUCCCAGCAGGAUUGGGAGAUGGUGGUGUAAAAAGCACUGGAGUCUGAAGCCCUGCGUGUACAUGGAUGAAGUCUUGCUCCUGCCAUGUGUGUCUUGGUACCAGUUAAAACUGUGCACCGCCCAUACAACAUACAACAGUCUUCAGGCUACUGAUAUUGGUAAGGUAGUAUAUCAGAAAAGGAUAAUAAUGUUAAUGAGGGUAUUAUAUUAUGAUGAAAAAUUCAUAAUAUGUGUCCAUGCUUGGGAUGUAGUAUUUCACAAUAUACUCUUCAAAAUGUAUAAAGAAAAUACUAUUUGGUCUUUCAGGAGGUGGAAUCUGAAGCACUUAAGGAAGACUUCAGUGCUUCACUGGUAUGUAUCUUUUUUCUUUCUUUUCUUUUUUCUUUUUUUUUUUUCCUUUUAGCAAACUAAGUUUUUAUACUGGAAAUAAACCACUGAAGCUCCUGCA
Molecule: long non-coding RNA, 738 nt
Filed under: Apteryx owenii (little spotted kiwi)
Lineage: Eukaryota; Metazoa; Chordata; Aves; Apterygiformes; Apterygidae
Description: lncRNA (ENSAOWG00000010290.1)
Source: RNAcentral